Molecule: ribosomal RNA, 713 nt
Filed under: uncultured bacterium
Lineage: Bacteria
Description: bacterial SSU rRNA
Rfam family: Bacterial small subunit ribosomal RNA
Source: RNAcentral
GCCCUUCACUACGGAAUAGCCUCUGGAAACGGAGAGUAAUACCGUAUGCGCCCUUCGGGGAAAGAUUUAUCGGUGAAGGAUUAGCCCGCGUCUGAUUAGAUAGUUGGUGGGGUAACGGCCUACCAAGUCGACGAUCAGUAGCUGGUUUGAGAGGAUGAUCAGCAACACUGGGACUGAGACACGGCCCAGACUCCUACGGGAGGCAGCAGUGGGGAAUCUUAGACAAUGGGCGCAAGUGAUCUAGCCAUGCCGCGUGAGUGACGAAGGCCUUAGGGUCGUAAAGCUCUUUCGCCAGGGAUGAUAAUGACAGUACCUGGUAAAGAAACCCCGGCUAACUCCGUGCCAGCAGCCGCGGUAAUACGGAGGGGGUUAGCGUUGUUCGGAAUUACUGGGCGUAAAGCGCGCGUAGGGGAUUGGAAAGUUGGGGGUGAAAUCCCGGGGCUCAACCCCGAACUGCCUCCAAAACUAUCAGUCUAGAGUUCGAGAGAGGUGAGUGGAAUUCCAAGUGUAGAGGUGAAAUUCGUAGAUAUUUGGAGGAACACCAGUGGCGAAGGGGCUCACUGGCUCGAUACUGACGCUGAGGUGCGAAAGUGUGGGGAGCAAACAGGAUUAGAUACCCUGGUAGUCCACACCGUAAACGAUGAAUGCCAGACGUCGGGGGGCUUGCCCUUCGGUGUCACACCUAACGGAUUAAGCAUUCCGCCUGGGGAGUA